UACGUAGGGGGCAAGCGUUGUCCGGAAUCAUUGGGCGUAAAGAGCGCGUAGGCGGUCCGGUAAGUCCGCUCUGAAAGUCCGGGGCUCAACCCCCGGAAGGCGGGCGGAUACUGUCGGGCUAGAGUCCGGAAGAGGCGAGUGGAAUUCCUGGUGUAGCGGUGAAAUGCGCAGAUAUCAGGAGGAACACCAAUGGCGAAGGCAGCUCGCUGGGACGGUACUGACGCUGAGGCGCGAAAGCGUGGGGAGCAAACAGG
RNAcentral lists this ribosomal RNA (254 nucleotides) under uncultured bacterium. RNAcentral describes it as "partial 16S ribosomal RNA". It matches the Rfam family "Bacterial small subunit ribosomal RNA", at positions 524 to 776 of the family's 1533-position model. The record is from RNAcentral.